CAAGAAAUGUCUCAUGAAGCCUUUGGAGCCAGACUACAUGAGAUACCUGCUCAUUGGUCUUCUUUAUGGCUUCGCUCUGUUUAUUGUGAUUGCUGGUGGCUACGUCAAACAUUUACAGAGGUUUGUGUGUGCCAGGUACCAUCCUGAAAGAGAGAAAAAGAGAAUCCAGUACCUCCACAGGCAUAUUCUCACUCAGUGGGGG
This is a long non-coding RNA of Sinocyclocheilus rhinocerous, 202 nucleotides long. RefSeq lists it as uncharacterized. Lineage: Eukaryota; Metazoa; Chordata; Actinopteri; Cypriniformes; Cyprinidae. The transcript is spliced from 3 exons. The record is from RefSeq and is a predicted model, not a curated record.